GAUGAAGAACGUAGCGAAUUGCGAUAUGUAAUGUGAAUUGCAGAAUUCAGUGAAUCAUCGAAUCUUUGAACGCACAUUGCGCCCGCCAGUAUUCUGGCGGGCAUGCCUGUCCGAGCGUCAUUUCAACCCUCGCGCCCAUCUGGGCUGCGGUGUUGGGGACCGGCCUGCCCCCCGGGGCGCGCCGCCCCCCAAAUUCAGUGGCGGUCUCGCUGCAGCCUCCCUUGCGUAGUAGCACACCUCGCACCGGAGCGCAGCGCGGCCACGCCGUAAAACCCCCGACCCCCAUGAGUUUGACCUCGGAUCAGGUAGGAAUACCCGCUGAACUUAAGCAUAUCAAUAAGCGGAGGA
Molecule: unclassified non-coding RNA, 348 nt
Filed under: soil metagenome
Description: partial contains 5.8S ribosomal RNA, internal transcribed spacer 2, and large subunit ribosomal RNA
Rfam family: 5.8S ribosomal RNA (bases 1-120)
Source: RNAcentral